Molecule: transfer RNA, 73 nt
Filed under: Chryseobacterium defluvii
Lineage: Bacteria; Pseudomonadati; Bacteroidota; Flavobacteriia; Flavobacteriales; Weeksellaceae
Description: tRNA-Phe
Rfam family: tRNA
About the family: Transfer RNA (tRNA) molecules are approximately 80 nucleotides in length.
Source: RNAcentral
GGAUCAGUGGUGUACAAGGUGUGCAUGUUUGUCUGAAAAACAAAAGGGAGCCGUUCGAUUCGUUUCUGAUCCA